AAGCGUUUAUGACCAGACUUGGGCUUGGUUAAUCAUCUGGGGUUCUCCCCAGUGCACUUUUCCAGUCCAGGCCAGCAUCAGUUUUCCCCGGGGGAUAAAGGCGGCGGGAAUGUGGCUCUCUUCGGGGAGUGUUAUAGCCCUCGGUGCAAUGCGCCCUACCGGGACCGAGGACCGCGCUUCGGCUAGGAUGCUGGCGUAAUGGU
RNAcentral lists this ribosomal RNA (203 nucleotides) under Nectriaceae sp. Its description in RNAcentral is "partial large subunit ribosomal RNA". Lineage: Eukaryota; Fungi; Ascomycota; Sordariomycetes; Hypocreales; Nectriaceae. The record is from RNAcentral.